This 425-nucleotide ribosomal RNA is filed under the name uncultured bacterium. Its description in RNAcentral is "bacterial SSU rRNA". It matches the Rfam family "Bacterial small subunit ribosomal RNA", at positions 354 to 796 of the family's 1533-position model. The record is from RNAcentral.
GUGGGGAAUAUUGGACAAUGGGCGAAAGCCUGAUCCAGCAAUGCCGCGUGAGUGAUGAAGGCCUUAGGGUUGUAAAGCUCUUUUACCCGGGAUGAUAAUGACAGUACCGGGAGAAUAAGCUCCGGCUAACUCCGUGCCAGCAGCCGCGGUAAUACGGAGGGAGCUAGCGUUGUUCGGAAUUACUGGGCGUAAAGCGCACGUAGGCGGCUUUGUAAGUUAGAGGUGAAAGCCUGGAGCUUAACUCCAGGACUGCCUUUAAGACUGCAUCGCUUGAAUCCAGGAGAGGUGAGUGGAAUUCCGGGUGUAGAGGUGAAAUUCGCAGAUAUUCGGAAGAACACCAGUGGCGAAGGCGGCUCACUGGACUGGUAUUGACGCUGAGGUGCGAAAGCGUGGGGAGCAAACAGGAUUAGAUACCCGGGUAGUCC